Molecule: long non-coding RNA, 369 nt
Organism: Dreissena polymorpha
Lineage: Eukaryota; Metazoa; Mollusca; Bivalvia; Myida; Dreissenidae
Exons: 3
Source: RefSeq, a predicted model, not a curated record
GUGGAAAAAAGAUGGAGUGGUUCUUGCUUGAACUGAGACUGAUCCUUCAGUUGACCCUUCAGUUGACUCGAUAAUUAGAGCCAUAGUCACUGAAAGAAGAUGGAGUGGUUCUUGCUUGAACUGAGACUGACCCUUCAGUUGACCCUUCAGUUGACUCGAUAAUUAGAGCCAUAGUCACUGAAAGAAGAUGGAGUGGUUCUUGCUUGAACUGAGACUGACCCUUCAGUUGACCCUUCAGUUGACUCGAUAAUUAGAGCCAUAGUCACUGCCAUCACCCACAAAAAGGACAGAAGGCCUGGAGAUGGGAUUAUCAGACCUACACCAGAUCCUGAUCCAGAGCAGCUUCAAAGGCAAGCCCUUAUGGUACAU